RNAcentral lists this ribosomal RNA (265 nucleotides) under uncultured bacterium. Its description in RNAcentral is "partial 16S ribosomal RNA". It matches the Rfam family "Bacterial small subunit ribosomal RNA", at positions 602 to 867 of the family's 1533-position model. The record is from RNAcentral.
CCCGGGCUUAACCUGGGAAUGGCGCCUGUGNCUGUAUAGCUAGAGUGUNUCAGAGGGGGGUAGAAUUCCACGUGUAGCAGUGAAAUGCGUAGAUAUGUGGAGGAAUACCAAUGGCGAAGGCAGCCCCCUGGGAUAACACUGACGCUCAUGCACGAAAGCGUGGGGAGCAAACAGGAUUAGAUACCCUGGUAGUCCACGCCCUAAACGAUGCUGACUAGUUGUUCGGGAUUUACAUCCUGAGUAACGUANCUANCGCGUGAAGUCA